AAGUAGACAUCCUGAUAUCCUCGUAUAUACUCGAUAAUAUGGUUCGAGAGUCUCUACCCGGCGCCGUAAAUGACCGGACUACGAGGGAACACCGGUUUUCU
This 101-nucleotide non-coding RNA is filed under the name Thermincola carboxydiphila JR. RNAcentral describes it as "Thermincola potens JR Purine riboswitch aptamer". It matches the Rfam family "Purine riboswitch aptamer". Rfam says of the family: Riboswitches are metabolite binding domains within certain messenger RNAs that serve as precision sensors for their corresponding targets. Allosteric rearrangement of mRNA structure is mediated by ligand binding, and this results in modulation of gene expression. Lineage: Bacteria; Bacillati; Bacillota; Clostridia; Eubacteriales; Thermincolaceae. The record is from Rfam by way of RNAcentral. RNAcentral also lists the same sequence under 1 other name.